UGGACUCUGACAAAUGCACGAGAAGAGAGUGUUGCUCUCAAAAAGUUGAGAGUGUAUCCUUCACCUAUAAAUGUGUUUAAAUCUCCUUCCAGCCCUUGAUGAUCAUCUGCCAUGUCUUCAGGCGGCUGAGCUACAGUGAAAAAGCACUGGACCUGGGCUCAGGAAGUCAGCUUAGAGUCUCAAUUCUGCUACUUGUCAUUUGGAUAGAGGUGUUUCUUUGAGAUCAAUUUUCACACGUGUGAAAUGGUGAUAAUUCUACUGUCUCUGCUCCCUUUCUAAGAUGGCUGUGAGGAUGGAAGGAUAACGUUGAAAGAUGGUUCUUGGUCACCUUCACCUCCCAUCAAGCAGCCUCCUCUUGCCGACAGACGUCACUCAGGAAGGACUUCUGGUGAUGCAGAUUUCUUGGGAAAAUUGUUGAUUUCACUGUAUUCGGGAAGGAUGAGUUUUGAUGAUCAUUUCUUGUGCCUAAGAAAACAAUUGAAUGCUGGUGGUUCUCUGGGUAUUCUGAUUGAUAAAAAGAGCAUAAAGUUGAAGUUCACAGCUGAAUUCAAUCCCAGUGAAGAAACAAAGACUGAACUUGAAAGAAUGGUCCCCUCUGCAAUGGUUGGCCAAUGAUAGGUUGGA
Delphinapterus leucas (beluga whale) is the source of this 624-nucleotide non-coding RNA. The record is from RefSeq and is a predicted model, not a curated record. Lineage: Eukaryota; Metazoa; Chordata; Mammalia; Artiodactyla; Monodontidae.